This 205-nucleotide ribosomal RNA is filed under the name uncultured fungus. RNAcentral's name for it is "partial small subunit ribosomal RNA". The stretch from base 79 to 205 matches the Rfam family "Eukaryotic small subunit ribosomal RNA", at positions 737 to 864 of the family's 1831-position model. The record is from RNAcentral. Lineage: Eukaryota; Fungi.
GGCUCAGCAGUCGGGUCUUCCUUCAAUGGUUGUACUCGAGUGCUUUGCCUUAUCUUCUAGGCUCGCGUCGCAAGGCGCAAGAUUCUAGGACUUUUACUGUGAAUAAAUUAGAGUGUUCAAAGCAGGCGCUCACGCUUGUAUACAUUAGCAUGGAAUAAUGGAAUAGGACUGUGGUCCCGUUUUGUUGGUUUUCAGGACCGCGGUA